UGGGGAAUAUUGGACAAUGGGCGCAAGCCUGAUCCAGCCAUGCCGCGUGAGUGAUGAAGGCCCUAGGGUUGUAAAGCUCUUUCACCGGUGAAGAUAAUGACGGUAACCGGAGAAGAAGCCCCGGCUAACUUCGUGCCAGCAGCCGCGGUAAUACGAAGGGGGCUAGCGUUGUUCGGAUUUACUGGGCGUAAAGCGCACGUAGGCGGACUAUUAAGUCAGGGGUGAAAUCCCGGGGCUCAACCCCGGAACUGCCUUUGAUACUGGUAGUCUUGGGUUCGAGAGAGGUGAGUGGAAUUCCGAGUGUAGAGGUGAAAUUCGUAGAUAUUCGGAGGAACACCAGUGGCGAAGGCGGCUCACUGGCUCGAUACUGACGCUGAGGUGCGAAAGCGUGGGGAGCAAACAGG
RNAcentral lists this ribosomal RNA (404 nucleotides) under Actinomycetes bacterium. RNAcentral's name for it is "Actinobacteria bacterium partial 16S ribosomal RNA". It matches the Rfam family "Bacterial small subunit ribosomal RNA", at positions 355 to 776 of the family's 1533-position model. Lineage: Bacteria; Bacillati; Actinomycetota; Actinomycetes. The record is from RNAcentral.